RNAcentral lists this long non-coding RNA (1447 nucleotides) under Bos grunniens (domestic yak). RNAcentral describes it as "lncRNA (ENSBGRG00000012685.1)". The record is from RNAcentral. Lineage: Eukaryota; Metazoa; Chordata; Mammalia; Artiodactyla; Bovidae.
GCGUCACACAGCAGGGCCUGGGAGGCAGGCUAAAAUGGGGACAGUCUGUGUUUACCACAGCAGUAAAGUGUGGUCAAGCACUCAGCCGCCACUGCACUGGAGCAUGAGGCUCACAGCAGAAGCGGCAGAGUCAACCCAAAGGAGACGCCUGACGACCAGACAGGAGGGGUGGCUGGAAGGCACAGUGAGCCAGAGUAUGGGGCAGGGGGGCGUCCUAGAGGAAGGUGGGCAGUGGGAGAGAAGAUAGUUUAAGACAAGAGGACACUUAGCUGGAAGACCUUGAGUUCCAUGGAGAUUCUGGAGAGCAGGACCAAGAGGCAGGGCUGGGGAGAAGGGUCCAGAAAGCCACACCCACCUUGCCCCAAGACCUCCAAUGGCUCAUUGCCCCUCCUAAGUGCUCACGCCCAUCCAUCACCCUUUCCCCUCUCCCUGCUUUAUUUUACUGGAUCAUAUACUUUGUCUCAUCUUUAGCAGUUCCUUGCACAUAGCGGGCACCAAGUUAACACGUGUUAAAUAAGUGAAUUUAGGAGCUGUCUGGAGAGAGUACAGUUGUUGCCACAGAAAGUGGAACACUUGUGGAGGGUGUCCACAUGAAUUCUAUACUUAUCAGAACCAUAUGGCUACCAUCCCACCUAGGCGACAGCCAGCAGGGCCAUUGCACAUGAAUUGGGCAGGGCAACACAGUCAUACCUCAGCUUCAAGACCUGCCAUUUUAUAGGCAAGGAAAAGUAUCAGAGCCAAUUCUAAGAGCAGCGGGCAUGGGGAAAAAAAAAUUAAGCCGCUUACAGCCAACUUCAAGACUUCCCUGGUGGCUCAGACGGUAAAGCGUCUGCCUACAGUCGGGAGACCUGGGUUUGAUCCCUGGGUCGGAAAGAUCCCCUGGAGAAGGAAAUGGCAACCCACUCCAAUAUUCUUGCCUGGAAAAUGCCAUGGAUGGAGGAGCCUGGUGGGCUACAGUCCAUGGGGUCACAAAGAGUCGGACAUGACUGACUUCACUUUCACAGCCAACCUCAAAUGACAACAUGAAAGAGGACGUGGGGACCCCACAGUUCUCAGUGCUUCAGCAGGGGCUCGCCCUGUAAGCUGCGGCCCACAGAAAGUUGAUGAUGCGAUCAGAGAGUCCACGGCAAUGUCUGAUCCCUUGUGACACAAGUAUUUAUAUUUAAAAGUCCUUGUAAAGUUUAAGAUAUUUAAGUAGAUAAAGUCAUCAUCCUUCCUACUCUUGGUUACACUUCAUGCCCAUUUAACCCUUCAGGCCACAGCCCAGCCUGUGGGCAGAGGUGAUGCUGCUAAGCUUCUUCUGAGCAUCCAGGAUCAAACUGUCAGGCUACUCUUUUUCUGAGUGACACUCACUCCUGUCUGACAGGACUUCUGACUCCUCGGAUCACAGCCGAAAUAAAACUUAGCUCGUCAGCCGCUCACCUACAGACUCAAGAAAACCCCUCUU